GACGAACGCUGGCGGCGUGCUUAACACAUGCAAGUCGAACGGAAAGGCCCUGCUUUUGUGGGGUGCUCGAGUGGCGAACGGGUGAGUAACACGUGAGUAACCUGCCCUUGACUUUGGGAUAACUUCAGGAAACUGGGGCUAAUACCGGAUAGGAGCUCCUGCUGCAUGGUGGGGGUUGGAAAGUUUCGGCGGUUGGGGAUGGACUCGCGGCUUAUCAGCUUGUUGGUGGGGUAGUGGCUUACCAAGGCUUUGACGGGUAGCCGGCCUGAGAGGGUGACCGGCCACGUUGGGAGCGGAAUAGGGCCCGGACCCCUAGGGGGGGCAAGAGGGGGGAAUUUUGCACAAUGGGGGGAAGCCUGAAGAAGCGACGCCGGGUGGGGGAGGACGGCUUUCGGGGUAAAACCCGUUUUCCCCUGUCGCGAAGGUGGGGGGACGGUAAGGGGUAAAAAGGCCCCGGCUAAUAACGG
Molecule: ribosomal RNA, 467 nt
Filed under: uncultured bacterium
Lineage: Bacteria
Description: partial 16S ribosomal RNA
Rfam family: Bacterial small subunit ribosomal RNA
Source: RNAcentral